AGAUUAGACAUACCCAUCUUCUAAACUAGAAAAUUUUCCUCAGUUCCUGAGAUUUAAGGCUCUCUUGAAUAUAAAUUGUUGUUGAUGGGUUCUUUCUUACUAUCAGUUUUGUUGGUCUAUAAGGAAAACCUUGGAAGCAUACAAUGGAAGGUAAGGAAAAACCUCGAGUUCCCUUCUUUGAAUCAUGAAAAGGUAUUUGUGUUCUUUUCACUGAGUGGGUAGUUGAUUACUCAAGCAUGACGGUUAUGCGCAUUCUUUCAGGUGGAUGUUGCAUAUAGGAGGAUUGGAACUGCAUAUUUCAGAUUCAAGCAUCUGGAUGAUGGAAUAUACGAAGCUGUUGAAAUUUCAGGAUGAAGUCAAGCACAUUUCUCUAAUGAAGCCAAAGAUUUGUAUUUUCAGCAUUAUUGUAAUUGUCAUUGAUUGAAUGAAUUGGAUUGUAAUUGAUUGUAAUUGUAAUUGAUUGAAUAAAGGAUUAUAAUUGUAAUUGAUUAAA
Magnolia sinica is the source of this 493-nucleotide long non-coding RNA. RefSeq lists it as uncharacterized. The transcript is spliced from 2 exons. The record is from RefSeq and is a predicted model, not a curated record. Lineage: Eukaryota; Viridiplantae; Streptophyta; Magnoliopsida; Magnoliales; Magnoliaceae.